UUUUGAUUGAGUUAUUGAUAUAACAAAAACAAUAAAUGAAGCAAUGUAUACAUUUAUACAAAACUUCUAUCCUGAGCACACGUAAUAGAACCAUAGAUAGUGAAGUGAAAUCCAAUCCACAAAAUAAUUUGAUCUCUGGAUAGCAUCAUUGGGGAUAAAGAUCGUAAUGCUAGAGGAAUCGUUCCCUCAAGCAUAGAGGGGGAGGUCAUAAAUGUCUACACUGUAAAAUCAUUUUUGACAAAUAAAAAAGACUUAUAUGGUUGAAUCGUAACCGUAGGAUACAACCCCAAUUGAAAUGCAUACAUUUGUCUCAUACACUACGGUAAUGGUGCGAAGAGAUAUAUUUUAUAUCUUAGAGGGGUUAUAAUUGGAGAUACCAUUAUUUCUUGCAUAGAAGUUUCUAUAAAAUGGGAAAUACCCUACCUUUUAGUGCGGUUUGAACUAAUGAUUUACGAAUUAAAAGUAACCAAUUAGGUUUAUCAUAAAACCUAAAAAUCGAUCAUUAAUCUAGUAUGAGUACCUCUAUAGGAUAGACCACAAUAAAAAACUGAAGAGUAACGUCAAUAAGUGAUUGAGUUCAAUAGUUACUCAUAUAACAUUAUUGACUCGAGUUAAAGUAAUAUGGAGAACAAACAAUUGUUUCAAGCACCGAUAGAAUCAGAUGCGCCCCCCUUCUUUCAAACCUUCAAAUAUGAGUUAUUCACAUGUCAUUGA
This 714-nucleotide long non-coding RNA is filed under the name Olea europaea subsp. europaea. The record is from RNAcentral. Lineage: Eukaryota; Viridiplantae; Streptophyta; Magnoliopsida; Lamiales; Oleaceae.